GGUAAAUUUCAUCUGUUUAUUCCUUCUCAGUCAAGAACAAAAAAAAAAGGGAAGGAAAUUUUUCACAUCUGGUGUUUUUAGUUAAAACCAACCACAUCAAAGAGAUGAGCACGACUCCUCGUAUCUUGGCACAUGCUUGACGGCAGUGCUUGAGUUAGAGAAGAUUGUAGGUAAACCGUGAGAGAGGAAGACCAGACUUGCUGAGACAUGGAGGAGGUAGCCAGAGACAGAACAACAAAGCCUCUUCUUCUUGUAAAUAUAAGGUUGCCUAGCUAGUACUAGUUCCCACCACACACGAACAGAGCUUCCAACUCGAGCUAACCCAAAGUAAUUAUGCCGAUCUAAGGAGAUGGAGAGGAAGGAAAGCCCCCACCUUUGAUGCAGCUGAUGUUGGAGGACGCGGACAGUGGCACACCGGGAGGUGCGUGGCUUGGGGCAGCGGAACGUACGGGGCCUGAUUCAUCUGCAGCGGGGUGCAGGGCACGGUUCAACUGCUUAGAUUACAGGGGCCUCCGAUGCCGAUGACUCACGAUUUCACGAAGCCUUGGCUGGCAGCGGCACCUCGCCAUGAACGCCACCAUCACUUUCAGGUGAGAUGUUUCAAUUUAGUUUAUUUGCAAUGGCUAGAUAUAUAUUGUCAAACUGAAUCCAAACAUAAGCCAAUGGGUUGAUUUAUUUGUGCGAGUGGAAUUGGACAGAGAAGACGAAGUGAAAGGGGACUCCGGUGGAGAUGAUAAAGUUGAUAACACGUCCAUAAAUUAAUGUUAG
RNAcentral lists this long non-coding RNA (768 nucleotides) under Hordeum vulgare. RNAcentral's name for it is "long non-coding RNA (HVUL_LNC001206)". Lineage: Eukaryota; Viridiplantae; Streptophyta; Magnoliopsida; Poales; Poaceae. The record is from RNAcentral.